CUGAUGCAGCCAUGCCGCGUGUGUGAGAAGGCCUUCGGGUUGUAAAGAGCGAGGAAGGUAGUGAGUUAAUAGCUGAUAGACGUUAGCGACAGAAGAAGCACCGGCUAACUCCGUGCCAGCAGCCGCGGUAAUACGGAGGGUGCGAGCGUUAAUCGGAAUUACUGGGCGUAAAGCGCAUGCAGGUGGUUUGUUAAGUCAGAUGUGAAAGCCCGGGGCUCAACCUCGGAAUAGCAUUUGAAACUGGCAGACUAGAGUACUGUAGAGGGGGGUAGAAUUUCAGGUGUAGCGGUGAAAUGCGUAGAGAUCUGAAGGAAUACCGGUGGCGAAGGCGGCCCCCUGGACAGAUACUGACACUCAGAUGCGAAAGCGUGGGGAGCAAACAGGAUUAGAUACCCUGGUAGUCCACGCCGUAAACGAUGUCUUGGAGGUU
RNAcentral lists this ribosomal RNA (430 nucleotides) under Vibrio sp. 5WU1 13. RNAcentral's name for it is "bacterial SSU rRNA". It matches the Rfam family "Bacterial small subunit ribosomal RNA", at positions 383 to 822 of the family's 1533-position model. Lineage: Bacteria; Pseudomonadati; Pseudomonadota; Gammaproteobacteria; Vibrionales; Vibrionaceae. The record is from RNAcentral.